GCAGGGGGGUGGAGACCUAGGGGAGGGGUAGCAUUAGGAGAAACACCUAAUGUAGAUGACGAGGUGAUGGAUGCAGCAAAUCACCAUGGCACAUGUGAACCUAUGUAACAAACGUGCACAUUCUGCACAGGUACUCCAGAUCUUAAAGUAUAAUUUUUAAAAAGUCAAGUUGUAUUUUCAGAAAAAAGUACCAUGAUAAAAAUAGAUCUGUAAUAAAUUCACAUAUUGGACUUAUGUUGGACAUGAAUUUGGAAAUAGCCAGGAUUGGUAAAUGUAAGAAAAAACAAGAUUGAAUAUAUCAAAGAAUUGGAAUCUAUAAAUAAAAUGAGAAACCUAUAAUUCAGAGAAUUUUAUAUAUGAGAUUACUCACAAAUUAGGGUUGAAGGAUUAGUGAAUUUGAGGGUCACAUUAAAUACAAAGAGUGAAACAUAUAUAUACACACACACACAUACAUAUAUAUGCACAUAUAUAUAAAAUGCCUGACACAAGAACAUUAGAGGCACAUCAGGCAUGGUACAAGUCUAACAUACUAGUGUAACUGGAAUCAGAAUAGGAUGAGGGAGAGCAAAAUCCAAAAAGAAUAUGGCAAAAGUUAAACAUAUGUUUAUGAACCUGAAACUACUCCUUGGUAAAUAUCAAAGAGAAACAAAAUAUGUCCUUACAGAGGCUUACAUGCACAUGUUCAGCAGCCAUGUCAUUCUUAAGAGCCCCAAAGUGGAAACAAUCCAAAUAUUCAUCAGUGGGUGAAUGAAUAAACAAAAUGUCGGCUAGCCAUAAAAUGGAUUUCUAUUCUGUGAUAAAAGGGAAUGAACUACUAAUACAUAUUACAACAUAGUUGAACCUUUAAAACAUGCCAAAUGAGAAGUUGGACAUGAGGACACAUACAUAAUUCCAUUUAUAUGAAAUUUUCAGAAGAAAAGGCAAAUCCAUACAGACAGUAGCUUAAUCAUUUCCUGGGAUUGGGAGUGAGAAUAGAGUGUGACUGCAAAUGAGCAAAAUGGAUCUUUCCGGGUGAUGGAAGUGAUUUAAAGUAGAAUUGUGGUGAUGGUUGCACUAUUUUGAAUAUCCUAAAAACCAAUGGAUUGUACACUUAAAAUGGGUGGAUUUUAAAGUAAAAAUAUUUAAAUAAAACUUUGUUUAAAAAGAUGAAGUAAAGACACUUUGGCUAAGCAUGAUGGCUCAUUCCUGUAAUUUCAGCAUUUUGGGAGACUAAAGCGAACAGAUUGCUUGAGCCUAGAAGUUCAAGACCAACUGGGCAACAUGGCAAAACCCUAUUUCUACAAAAAUGCAAAAAAAGCCGGAUGUGGUGGUACUCCCCUGUAGUCCCAGCUACGUGGGAAGCUGAGUUGGGAGGACUGCUUAAGCACAGGAAGUGGAGGUUACAGUGAGCCAAGGUCAGACCACUGCACUCUAGUCUGAGCAACAGAGUGAGAGCUGGUCUCAAAUAAUAAUAAUAAAGUUAUGCUAAACUUAGGCAGAAUGAAAAUGAUCUCAGAUUGAAACACAGAAAUGCAAGAAAGAAUAAUGAUCAACAUGGGUAAAUUUAAGUGAAUAUUAUCACAAAAAACAGUAAUAAUCAUGUUUUAUAGGGUUUAAAAUGUCUGGAAGAUUAAAAUGCCUGACAAGAGGGUAAAAGGAGACAAACUGAGAUCUCUGAUUUCCUGCUACGUUUUCUGGCGCCUGAACAGGGACUUGAAAUGGCAGGCUUACUGUCUCCUUUACCUGUGGGACCAAGGCCCCGGGCUGCAGGAGACCUGCUACCCUAGGCACUGCUGGGAGAACUUCAGCCCGGACAGGAUACCGUCUCUGCCGUGCCCUAGCAUCCCUCCUGGACAGCGCAUCACACCUUUGGAAGGGGUUGCAGGACCAUCUCCAGGACCAACAUACUUCAGGAAUUACAGUAAGACAUUUAGGGAAAAGAAGAGCCCGCCCCAAGUGGGUGGAAGGAGAGUCUGAUUGACUCAAGGGAAGUGACUACUAAUCCAACCCAGAACGGCUGGGGGAACAGAGAGCACCUCACUGAUUUGGAUGAAACUCACAUCGCCACAGGCACACUGAACAGGGGUAACUCAUUAAACCAGUUUGUGGAGGAAAGUGGGAAAGGGGGAAGGAGUGUGGAAGUGUUUGAAAGAGACGGUUCUGGGAGGAGCCAACGUGGGGUGUGAAGUGGGGAGGUGCAGAUCCCUUAGCAUGGAUUGCAUGCUCCAAAGCGAGUGAGGGCUGAUUUAUUAUGGGCUGACCGCAUACCGCUGACAGGAGCGGCCCCACAGUUGCAGCUGACUGUGGUGGGAUUAAGGCACUCUACUAGUUAAAUGGCAGUCUGAAAACUCCCAUAACAGGAGACGGUGUUCAAUCCGAAGUGCAAGUCUGUGAGAGUCACCUUGUGUGGGAGGAUGGGAAGAUGGGAGGAAAAGAGUCAAAACCCACACCACUGGAGUGCAUGUUAGAGAAUUUUUAAAAGGCUUCUCAGGAGACUAUGGAGUUAAAUUGUCUCCUCAGAAGUGAAUGACCUUGUGUGAGUUAGAAUGGCCUUCCUUUGGGGUUGGAUGGCUGGCCAAGGGAACAAUAGGCAAACCACUGGUUGAGUGUUUAGGGUGGUGACCAGGGUCAGAGGACAGCCAGGGCACCCAGAUCAGUUUCCAUAUAUUAAUGCAUGGCAAAAUGUACCCCAGACACACCCUAAGUGGUUGCAAUGUUGCCUAGCUGCCUACCACAAAGCCUCAGGGCACAGACAGGGCCAAAGGAGGCCAAGAAACCUACAGACCCCCAAGCCCACAAGGGAAGAGAAGGACAAGAGGUACUAGAGAAACUGAUUUUACAGGCUCCCCCUGAAGAAAGAGAAGUUCUACCCUCUUCUGCUCCAAUAUACCCAUUCCCUAGCACACCUGAAGCAAGGUGAAGAGCAAGGAGUCAGACUCCAUGCUGUGCCAGGCCUAGAUGCAGGGGCUCAGGUAGAGUCAGACUUAGAGGGGAGCAAGAGCUCAAUGUCUCCCUCUCAUAAUGAAAGAAAAGAGAAAGAAAAAGUGAGUGACGUGGCCAGUUGUCUCCAAUCUGGCUGUACUUGAGCCAGAGAUGUCUCUUCAUGAAACACAGGCACCAGCCUAUGCAGGGCAGGUUCAUGGUGGGCAAAGAAUCUUUAUCCACCAGCCCUUUUCUACUACCGACCUUCUGAACUGGAAACAACACAUCCCCUCCUUCACGGAGAAGCCCUAAGAGCUCACUGAUCUAAUACAGUCCAUCUUUGCUACUCAUAAUCCUAAUUGGCUGGAUUGCCAGGAACUGCUGUUAAUGCUGUUUAAUACAGAAGAGCACAGGAGAAUAAACUAAGCAGCUCCCCAAUAGUUGGAAAAUAAUGCACCAGCAGGCACUAAUGAUGCCCUGCAAUAUGCAGUGCAACAUUUCCCUCAAUGUUGGGACCCCAAUGAACAGGAGGGGCUGCAAAACCUACAAACAUAUAGGACUGCACUGUUAAAUGGGAUGAAGGCAGGUGGGAAGAACAUAAUAAAUACAGGGAAAGUCUCAGAGGUCCACCAAAAACCUGAUGAAAGCCCAAGUGAAUUUUAUGAGAGGCUCUGUGAAGCAUACCAGCUUUAUACCCCAUUUGACCAAGAAGCCCCUGCCAACCAAUGUAUGGUUAAUGUGGCUUUUGUCAGCCAGGCACAAGGAGACAUUAGGUGGAAGCUAUAGAAGUGAGAAGGAUUUAAGGGCAAGAAUGCUACCGACCUCAUGCAGAUGGGCUACCAAGGUGUUUCACAAUUGAGAGGAAGAGGCUGAAAGAAAGGCAAGGUGAAAGGCAAAAGAAAAGGCGGACUUGUUAGUGGCUGCCUUAGUUGAGAGGGGAGCUGGUGUAACAAGAGGACAUGGAAGAGGGCAUGGGAGAGGUGUAGUCAGACUGGAGUCUGAAACUUGGCCUAGAUUAGAGAGAGAUCAAUGUGCAGUAAGCAAGGAGAAAGGACAUUGGGAAGCUGAGUGCCCAGAGAGAGUAGUAUAUGAAGAUCGGGCAUCCCCAUACAGCCACCGACUUUACCCCUAUGCAAUACCUAGACCAGCAGGCCCCAAGUAAUCAGGAUACAAGCUUAAUUGGCUUGGCUGGGGUAGACAGCUCUGAAGACUGAAACACAUCAGGCUCGAUUUCUCUAGGCCCCCAGGAGCCUAUGGUCGAGAUAAAGGUAGGGGGCCAAAAAACAGAUUUUAUGAUAGACAUGGGUGUUCAGCAUUCGGUGGUGACAAAACUGGUGGGGCCACAGUCUAAAACUUAUACCACCAUUAGUGGGGCCACAGGAGUGUCAGAAAACACAUCUUCCAGUCAAAAAGAUGUGUUAUUGGAGGGUGGGAGGUCCAGCAUGAGUUCCUAUAUCUCCCCAGCUGCUCUGUCCCUUUGUUACGAAGGGAUUUGCUUCAAAAGUUUCAAGCACAGAUAUCCUUUAAACCAGAGAGACACAUGACUCUAGAUUUUAACCACCCAACAGCUAUGGUAUUAGCCCUCCCAGUACCACAAGCUGAAGAAUGGCAGCUAUUUGCUAAGGAUAUGGAAGGAUCCAUCAAGCAGUCCUGGAGGCUAGUGGAAGAAGUCAUAUUGUCAGAGCUAAUUAGCAAAUUCCCACAAGUAUGAGCUGAAGAUAAUCCACCUGGGCUAGCCAUAAACCAUGGUGGUAGCAGAACUAAAAACAGGAGCUAUCCCAGUCCGGCUGCACUAGUACCCUAUGCCCCAGAGGCUGUCCUAGGCAUAGAAAAGCAUCUAGAAUGGCUCAGAAAACAUGGCAUUCUGGUGCCAUGUCAGUCACCUUGGAAUACUCCGCUCUUACUGGUGAAAAAGCCCCUACCUGACGAUGGGAUAUCUACCUCCCAUGAUUAUAGGCCAGCAUAGGACUUACGAGCUGUAAAGCAGGCUACAUUAACUAUUCACCCAGUAGUGCCAAACCCAUACACUCUAUUCUCACUAAUCCCCUCCAAUUCAGCAUGGUUCAGUUUUAGACCUAAAAGAUGCCUUCUUUUGCCUUCAUCUAGCACCAGUCAGUCAACCCUUAUUUGCUUUUCAAUGGGGAAGUUUCCAACUUACUUGGACCAGGCAUCCCCAAGGACACUGAACUCCCCCAUGAUCUUCAGUGAGGCCCUAGCAUCUGACCUUAAUGCCUACACUCCACCAAAUAAAGACUGUGUCCGACUGCAGUAUGUGUAUGAUCUUCUUUUAGCAGCCCCCACUUUAGAAGAUUGUCACAAAGGAACCCAAGACUUCCUCCACCUUCUACGGAAGACAGGGUAUAAAGUAUCCAGAAACAAAGCCCAGAUUUGUUGUGGGAGCAUCACAUACUUGCCAAGAGCAGAGUAUGCUAGGUAGUGCACACGAGGAAGCUGUGUAGGAUUCUAACCGCAACCUGCCAACAAGUAAGAGAGAUCCUAGGGGCAGCAGAGUUUUGCCUAUGGCAAAACUCUAUGAAGCCACCAAAGCAGUGGGGGAGGUGGGGGGAGGAACCCGUCAUCUGGGGACCUGAUCGGAAAAAAAAGCAUUUAAUGCAAUCACAGCAGCUCUAGUUAGGGCCCCCGCCUUAGGACUACCACACAUAACUAAGCCCUUCUUCCCAUACAUUCAUGAGUGAAAGGGAAUGGUUAUCAGGAUCUUAACUCAGAUUCCAGGAUCAUGGCACCGCCCAAUAGCCUACCCAUCUAAGCAACUGGACUCAGUAGCUCAGGGAUGGCCACCCUGCUUUAAUGCCCUUGCCGCUGCAGCCAUGCUCAUACAGGAAGCUAAAAACAGACCUUAGAACAGCAGUUAACCGUAUGGGUGCCACAGUCUGUCCUAAUGCUAAUGGAUCAAAGAGGGCAUCACUGGCUGUUAAAUCCUAGAAUGACCCAACACCAAAGACUCUUAUGUGAAAACCUCCGUAUAACUUUAGAAACUGUAAACACUCUUAACCUUGCUACCUUGCUCCCACUACAGCCAGGAGCUCCCCUUCAUGACUAUAUAGAAACAGUAGAUGGAGUUUUCUCCAGCAGGAAAAAAUCUCACAAAUCGUCUCCUCCAAUAGGCUGAUGUUGAAUACUUUACAGAUGGUAGCAGCUUUGUAACAGAAGGAUUCAGGCAGGCUGGAUAUGCAGUUGUAACUUUAGUUUCAAUCGUAGAGGCCCAAAGCCUGCAGGAACAUCAGCCCAGAAAGGAGAACUAAUACCCUUAGCAAGAGCACUGUUGCUAGCUAAGGGUAAAAAAGCCAACAUAAGGCCGGGCGCGGUGGCUCAACCCUGUAAUCCCAGCACUUUGGGAGGCCGAGGCGGGUGGAUCACGAGGUCAAGAGAUCGAGACCACCCUGGUCAACAUGGUGAAACCCCAUCUCUACUAAAUAUACAAAAAGUCCGCUGGGCAUGGUGGCGCGUCCCUGUAAUCCCAGCUACUCAGGAGGCUGAGGCAGGAGAAUUGCCUGAACCCAGGAGGCUGAGGUUGUGGUGAGCCGAGAUUGUGCCAUUGCACUCCAGCCUGGGUAACAAGAGUGAAACUCCGUCUCAAAAAAAAAAAAAAAAAAAAAAAGCCAACAUAUGGGCCGGGUGCGGUGGCUCACACCUGUAAUCCCAGCACUUUGGGAGGCCGAGGUGGGUGGAUCAUGAGGUCAAGAGAUCGAGACCAUCCUGGUCAACAUGUUGAAACCACAUCUCUACUAAAAAUACAAAAAAUUAGCUGGGCAUGGUGGCGCGUGCCUGUAGUCCCAGCUACUCAGGAGGCUGAGGCAGGAGAAUUGCCUGAACCCAGGAGGCAGAGGUUGUGGUGAGCCGAGAUUGCAUCAUUGCACUCCAGCCUUGGUAACAACAGUGAAACUCCGUCUCAAAAAAAAAAAAAAAGCCAA
Callithrix jacchus (white-tufted-ear marmoset) is the source of this 6833-nucleotide non-coding RNA. Lineage: Eukaryota; Metazoa; Chordata; Mammalia; Primates; Cebidae. The record is from RefSeq and is a predicted model, not a curated record.